RNAcentral lists this non-coding RNA (45 nucleotides) under Schistosoma mansoni. Lineage: Eukaryota; Metazoa; Platyhelminthes; Trematoda; Strigeidida; Schistosomatidae. The record is from RNAcentral.
AUUUGGCUGACGAGUCCCGAAUAGAACGAAACACGCUUCCUGGAU